UAUUAUUGGAAAAUACCAUGUGACCUUCUGAGGAACUCCAUGCCUCCUUUUCUUGUCACCCCCGUCAUUUCUUCGUUUGAAUCGAGGAGUUCCACACUCGGGACAUUCAGUUAGAUUUGCAUUGUCGCCACGGAACAAGAUGCAAUCAUUCUUACAAGCAUGUAUUUUUUCAACCUCCAUUCCUAAAGGGCAAAUAUUCUUCUUGGCCUCGUAGGUGGUCUCAGGUAUCUCAUUACAUUUCGGUAGCAUGUCCUUUAACAGAUCUAACAAAUCCUUGAAGCAUCGAUCUGUUAGAAAUGGGUAGCCUUCAGCUGAAGAAGCUUAAGUCAUGUGAAGAGUUUUGUGUACUUUUCUUUACAACCGGGAUAUAGAGGGGUUU
Molecule: long non-coding RNA, 379 nt
Filed under: Oryza brachyantha (malo sina)
Lineage: Eukaryota; Viridiplantae; Streptophyta; Magnoliopsida; Poales; Poaceae
Description: long non-coding RNA (OBRA_LNC003392)
Source: RNAcentral